GCUGAAAUGAUACAGAAAAGAUUAGCAUGGCCCCUGUACAAGAAUGACUGGCAAAUCUGUGAAGUGUUCUAUUAAAAA
RNAcentral lists this small nuclear RNA (78 nucleotides) under Canis lupus dingo (dingo). The record is from RNAcentral. Lineage: Eukaryota; Metazoa; Chordata; Mammalia; Carnivora; Canidae.